GCAGGCGGUCUGUCAAGUCGGAUGUGAAAUCCCCGGGCUCAACCUGGGAACUGCAUUCGAAACUGGCAGGCUAGAGUCUUGUAGAGGGGGGUAGAAUUCCAGGUGUAGCGGUGAAAUGCGUAGAGAUCUGGAGGAAUACCGGUGGCGAAGGCGGCCCCCUGGACAAAGACUGACGCUCAGGUGCGAAAGCGUGGGGAGCAAACAGGAUUAGA
RNAcentral lists this ribosomal RNA (212 nucleotides) under Enterobacteriaceae bacterium. RNAcentral describes it as "partial 16S ribosomal RNA". It matches the Rfam family "Bacterial small subunit ribosomal RNA", at positions 571 to 782 of the family's 1533-position model. Lineage: Bacteria; Pseudomonadati; Pseudomonadota; Gammaproteobacteria; Enterobacterales; Enterobacteriaceae. The record is from RNAcentral.